GAAGUCAGGCCUAGUUGAAUUACCUGGAAAGGUAAGCGAGAGAGGGUAAAAGCCCCGUAGACGAAAGGCAGAGCAGAGAGGCCGAGAUCCAGAGUACCACGAAGCACGAGGAAUUUUGUGGGAAGCAGGGGGGACCACCCUCCAAGGCUAAAAACUACUUGGCGACCGAUAGCGCAUAGUACCGUGAGGGAAAGGUGAAAAGAACCCCGGGAGGGGAGUGAAAUAGUACCUGAAACCGUAUGUCUACAAGCAGUCGAAGCGAAAGCGACGGCGUGCCUAUUGAAGAAUGAACCAACGAGUUAUCUGCACUAGCGAGGUUAAGUGGAAGACACGGAGCCGCAGCGAAAGCGAGUCUUAAGAGGGCGCUAGUUAGUGUAGGUAGACCCGAAACCGCAGUGAUCUACCCAUGUCCAGGUUGAAGCGCAGGUAAAAUUGCGUGGAGGACCGAACCGGUGAGCGUUGAAAAGCUUUCGGAUGAGAUGUGGGUAGGGGUGAAAUUCCAAUCGAACGCGGAGAUAGCUGGUUCUCCCCGAAAUAGCUUUAGGGCUAGCCUGAGGUAGUAAGUAUAGGCGGUAGAGCACUGAUCGGGCUAGGGGCCGUAAAGGUUACCGAACCCUGUCAAACUCCGAAUGGAUAUACUGUAGAGCCUUGGAGUCAGACUACGAGUGAUAAGAUCCGUGGUCAAAAGGGAAACAGCCCAGACCACCAGCUAAGGUCCCCAAUGUCGUACUAAGUGGAAAAGGAUGUGGGGUUUCAUAAACAACCAGGAUGUUGGCUCAGAAGCAGCCACCAUUUAAAGAGUGCGUAAUAGCUCACUGGUCGAGAGACCCUGCGCCGAAGAUUCCCGGGGCUAAAGUACGAAACCGAAGCUGUGGCUGUAUACGUAAAGUAUACGGGGUAGGGGAGCGUUCCCAUAGGGUAGAAGUCGAACUGGAAGGUUCGGUGGACUUGUGGGAAGUGAGAAUGUUGGUAUGAGUAGCGAAAAGAAAGGUGAGAAUCCUUUCCACCGAAAGCAUAAGGAUUCCUGAGCAACGAUCGUCGUCUCAGGGUAAGUCGGGACCUAAUCCGAGGCAGAGAGCGUAGGAGAUGGACAACUGGUUGAUAUUCCAGUACCGGUAGUAAUUGUUUGAGCAAUGGAGUGACACAGAAGGGCAGGCAAGCAUGCGAAUGGAAGAGCAUGUGUAAGCGUGUAGGGUGGUGCAUAGGCAAAUCCGUGCACUGAAAGCCUGAGGCGUGAUGCGGAGUGAGCAGAGAUGCGAGCGAAGUUGUUGACCCCACACUGUCGAGAAAAGCUUCUAGUGAGAGAGCUACCGCCCGUACCGUAAACCGACACAGGUAUGCGGGGAGAGAAUCCUAAGGUGCGCGGGAGAACCCUCGUUAAGGAACUCGGCAAAAUGUACCCGUAACUUCGGGAUAAGGGUAGCCACUGUUGUGAAGUCCCAUGCGGAUGGAGCAUAGAGUGGUCGCAGAGAAGAGGCCCAAGCGACUGUUUACCAUAAACACAGGUGCCUGCUAAAGCGAAAGCUGACGUAUAGGUGCUGACACCUGCCCAGUGCCGGAAGGUUAAGGAAGGAUGUUCGGAUUAGUCCAAAGCAUUCGACUGAAGCCCCGGUGAACGGCGGCCGUAACUAUAACGGUCCUAAGGUAGCGAAAUUCCUUGUCGGGUAAGUUCCGACCCGCACGAAAGGCGUAAUGAUUUGGGCACUGUCUCAACGAGGGACCCGGUGAAAUUGAAAUACCUGUGAAGAUGCAGGUUACCCGCGACUGGACAGAAAGACCCCAUGGAGCUUUACUGUAACCUGACAUUGGGUUUUGAUACAUUACGUACAGGAUAGGUGGGAGGCAUGGAAAGCUGGACGCUAGUCUGGCUGGAGCCGACGUUGGGAUACCACCCUUGAUGUAUUGAAAUUCUAACCGCGAGAGUAACGAAAUCCGGGACAGUGUCAGGCGGGCAGUUUGACUGGGGCGGUCGCCUCCAAAAGAGUAACGGAGGCGCUCAAAGGUCUUCUCAGAAUGAUUGGAAACCAUUCAAAGAGUGUAAAGGCAAAAGAAGGCUUGACUGCGAGAGUGACAACUCGAGCAGGUACGAAAGUAGGACU
RNAcentral lists this ribosomal RNA (2099 nucleotides) under metagenome. Its description in RNAcentral is "bacterial LSU rRNA". It matches the Rfam family "Bacterial large subunit ribosomal RNA", at positions 319 to 2412 of the family's 2925-position model. The record is from RNAcentral.